Urocitellus parryii (Arctic ground squirrel) is the source of this 1815-nucleotide non-coding RNA. The record is from RefSeq and is a predicted model, not a curated record. Lineage: Eukaryota; Metazoa; Chordata; Mammalia; Rodentia; Sciuridae.
GCGGCAGUAGAAAUGAUGGAAGAAUUGCAUAGCCUGGACCCACGACGGCAGGAAUUAUUAGAGGCCAGGUUUACUGGAGAUGGUGUUAGUAAGGGGCCACUCAAUAGUGAGUCUUCCAACCAGAGCUUAUGCAGCGUGGGGUCCUUGAGUGAUAAAGAAGUAGAGACUCCUGAAAAAAAGCAGAAUGACCAGCGAAAUCGGAAAAGAAAAGCUGAACCGUAUGAAACUAGCCAAGGGAAAGGCACUCCUAGGGGACAUAAAAUUAGUGAUUACUUUGAGCGGCGAGUAGAGCAGCCCCUCUAUGGUUUAGAUGGCRGUGCUGCAAAGGAGGCACCAGAGGAACAAUCUGCUCUGCCAACCCUCAUGUCAGUGAUGCUAGCAAAACCUCGGCUUGACACAGAACAGUUAGCACAAAGGGGUGCUGGCCUCUGCUUUACUUUCGUUUCAGCUCAGCAAAACAGUCCCUCUUCCAUAGGAUCUGGCAACACAGAGCAUUCCUGCAGCUCCCAAAAACAGAUCUCCAUCCAGCACAGACAAACCCAGUCUGACCUCACAAUAGAAAAAAUAUCUGCACUAGAAAAUAGUAAGAAUUCUGACUUAGAGAAGAAAGAAGGAAGAAUAGAUGAUUUAUUAAGAGCCAACUGUGAUUUGAGAAGGCAGAUUGAUGAACAGCAAAAGAUGCUAGAAAAAUACAAGGAACGAUUAAAUAGAUGUGUCACAAUGAGCAAGAAACUCCUUAUAGAAAAGUCAAAACAAGAGAAGAUGGCAUGUAGAGAUAAGAGCAUGCAGGACCGCUUGAGAUUGGGCCACUUUACUACUGUCCGGCAUGGGGCCUCUUUUACUGAACAGUGGACAGAUGGUUAUGCUUUCCAGAACCUUAUCAAGCAACAGGAAAGGAUAAAUUCACAGAGGGAAGAGAUAGAAAGACAACGGAAAAUGUUAGCAAAGYGGAAACCUCCUGCCAUGGGUCAAGCCCCUCCAGCAACCAAUGAGCAGAAACAGCGGAAGAGCAAGACCAACGGAGCUGAAAAUGAAACGUUAACAUUAGCAGAAUACCAUGAACAAGAAGAAAUCUUUAAACUCAGAUUAGGCCAUCUUAAAAAGGAGGAAGCAGAGAUCCAGGCAGAGCUGGAAAGGCUAGAAAGGGUUAGAAAUCUACAUAUCAGGGAACUAAAAAGGAUACAUAAUGAAGAUAAUUCACAAUUUAAAGAUCAUCCAACGCUAAAUGACAGAUAUUUGUUGUUACAUCUUUUGGGUAGAGGAGGUUUCAGUGAAGUUUACAAGGCAUUUGAUCUAACAGAGCAAAGAUACGUAGCUGUGAAAAUUCACCAGUUAAAUAAAAACUGGAGAGAUGAAAAAAAGGAGAAUUACCACAAGCAUGCAUGUAGGGAAUACCGGAUUCACAAAGAACUGGAUCAUCCCAGAAUAGUUAAGCUGUAUGAUUACUUUUCACUGGAUACUGACUCGUUUUGUACAGUGUUAGAGUACUGUGAGGGAAAUGAUCUGGACUUCUACCUGAAACAGCACAAAUUAAUGUCGGAGAAAGAGGCCCGAUCCGGGUGGGGAGAAAACCACACCCCACGGGAGUGCGGAGCCAACUCGCGGGAGAAAAAUCCUAUUGGCAUUGAGGAGGCAGGGAGCCAGCCCCUGGGCGCGGCCUGCAGGGGGCAGGCGAUCGCCCGGGGAAGCGGGGGCAGGACGAGGCCGGAGCUGGUGCCCGCUCCGCAGCUGCAGGCAGCCGCMGGGAGCCCCAGCUGUGCCUCUGCCGGUGUGCCCUCCUUAGCCCGCGCUCCCCGCGCUGUGUCCCGCCGCUGA